UCAUAGCCCUGAUCGAAGUAUUUGUCUGAGCUCAUUUUCUAGAAUCGGCGGCGGCUUUGCCGCCGCCGAUUCUAGAAAAUAGCGAGUACGGAGAGCAGGAAACAUC
This 106-nucleotide unclassified non-coding RNA is filed under the name Chryseobacterium formosense. RNAcentral's name for it is "Flavo-1 RNA". Lineage: Bacteria; Pseudomonadati; Bacteroidota; Flavobacteriia; Flavobacteriales; Weeksellaceae. The record is from RNAcentral.